RNAcentral lists this microRNA (23 nucleotides) under Mus musculus (house mouse). Its description in RNAcentral is "mmu-miR-6997-3p". The record is from miRBase by way of RNAcentral. Lineage: Eukaryota; Metazoa; Chordata; Mammalia; Rodentia; Muridae.
UCAAACCUUACCCUCCUGUUUCC